UACGAGGGGGGCGAGCGUUGUUCGGAAUUAUUGGGCGUAAAGGGUGCGUAGGCGGUUUUGUAAGUCUUAUGUGAAAUCUACAGGCUCAACUUGUAGUCUGCAUGAGAAACUGCAGGGCUUGAGUAUGGGAGAGGUGAGUGGAAUUCCUGGUGUAGCGGUGAAAUGCGUAGAUAUCAGGAGGAACACCGGUGGCGAAGGCGGGUCUCUGGGCCGGUACCGACGCUGAGGAGCGAAAGCGUGGGGAGCGAACAGG
RNAcentral lists this ribosomal RNA (253 nucleotides) under uncultured bacterium. RNAcentral's name for it is "partial 16S ribosomal RNA". It matches the Rfam family "Bacterial small subunit ribosomal RNA", at positions 524 to 776 of the family's 1533-position model. The record is from RNAcentral.